This 490-nucleotide long non-coding RNA is filed under the name Nicotiana benthamiana. RNAcentral describes it as "long non-coding RNA (NBEN_LNC030484)". The record is from RNAcentral. Lineage: Eukaryota; Viridiplantae; Streptophyta; Magnoliopsida; Solanales; Solanaceae.
UUCUAUGACAUCCUCACCACUUCCUCAGGUCAGGUUCUGUUUGAUGAUUGGUAUAUCGUCAUCUUCAACGUCUUCUUGACAUCCUUGCCUGUCAUCUCCUUGGGUGUGCUAGAACAGGAUGUUUCAUCUGAAGUCUGUCUUAAGGUAAAAAAAAUCAAGAACUUACCUUGACAUCCUUGCCUGUGAUCUCCUUGGGUGUGCUGGAACAGGAUGUUUCAUCUGAAGUCUGUCUUAAGGUAAAAAAAAUCAAGAACUUACCCGAUCUGCCCCCUGCCCCCUCCUAACUAUUACCAUUAUGCAUUAUGAAAGUCUUAACUUGGUUGCACCCCUAGGAAACAAAAACUUCAUAUGCAAUUCGGACACUAACAAUACAUUAUAUCACACAUUUGAAAAUCCAACAUCAUGUGUUCGUGUUCAUGCUGCUUAGGUUGUACAUAGUAUAGGUACUAUAAUGCCUUCCAUAUGGCUUUUCUCAACAUUCUAAUCAGUC